This 250-nucleotide ribosomal RNA is filed under the name uncultured bacterium. RNAcentral's name for it is "partial 16S ribosomal RNA". It matches the Rfam family "Bacterial small subunit ribosomal RNA", at positions 524 to 773 of the family's 1533-position model. The record is from RNAcentral.
UACGAAGGGGGCUAGCGUUGUUCGGAAUCACUGGGCGUAAAGGGCGCGUAGGCGGCUUGACAAGUCAGGUGUGAAAGCCCCGGGCUCAACCCGGGAAUUGCACUUGAUACUGUCUGGCUAGAGUCCGGGAGAGGAUGGCGGAAUUCCCAGUGUAGAGGUGAAAUUCGUAGAUAUUGGGAAGAACACCGGUGGCGAAGGCGGCUCUCUGGACCGAUACUGACGCUGAGGCGCGAAAGCGUGGGGAGCAAAC